AUGUGCAAUGGGGUUAUUGAAAGCAAAAUUCAAUAGUUGAAACCAUUGGAGAAGCUUGUUGAAUAUGAGGAAAGAGGAGAGAGAUGAUGAAUGGUUUCAACUAGUUGAAAAUCUGACCGAGGGGGCCACGUGGCGCGUUUCCAUUUGCCAGGCAGAGCGCGUGCAGCACACGCGCCGACAGGGCGCGUCACAGACAAGAAGACGCGGAGAGAGAAAUGUUUUUUGGAUAAUGCAGGACACGUGGCGCAAUCUGAUUGGCUGGCUGGAUUUUUAUCUUCUUAAUAAUUUGGACUCAAUUAUUUCAUUGCAAA
This 311-nucleotide long non-coding RNA is filed under the name Medicago truncatula (barrel medic). RNAcentral's name for it is "long non-coding RNA (MTRU_LNC007569)". Lineage: Eukaryota; Viridiplantae; Streptophyta; Magnoliopsida; Fabales; Fabaceae. The record is from RNAcentral.